This 670-nucleotide ribosomal RNA is filed under the name uncultured bacterium. RNAcentral's name for it is "bacterial SSU rRNA". It matches the Rfam family "Bacterial small subunit ribosomal RNA", at positions 124 to 810 of the family's 1533-position model. The record is from RNAcentral.
ACCUGCCCCAUACAAUGGGAUAGCCACUGGAAACGGUGAUUAAUACCAUAUAAUGCUUUAGAAUCGCAUGAUUUAAAAGCUAAAGAUUUAUCGGUAUGGGAUGGACCCGCGUCUGAUUAGCUAGUUGGUGAGGUAACGGCUCACCAAGGCGACGAUCAGUAGCCGACCUGAGAGGGUGAUCGGCCACACUGGAACUGAGACACGGUCCAGACUCCUACGGGAGGCAGCAGUGGGGAAUAUUGCACAAUGGGCGCAAGCCUGAUGCAGCAACGCCGUGUGAGUGAUGAAGGCCUUCGGGUCGUAAAACUCUGUCCUAUGGGAAGAAAACAAUGACGGUACCAUAGGAGGAAGCCCCGGCUAACUACGUGCCAGCAGCCGCGGUAAUACGUAGGGGGCAAGCGUUAUCCGGAAUCACUGGGCGUAAAGGGUGCGUAGGUGGCUUAUCAAGCCAGGGGUGAAAGGCAUUGGCUCAACCAAUGUAAGCCUUUGGAACUGAUAGGCUUGAGUGCAGGAGAGGUAAGUGGAAUUCCUAGUGUAGAGGUGAAAUUCGUAGAUAUUAGGAGGAACACCAGUGGCGAAGGCGACUUACUGGACUGUAACUGACACUGAGGCACGAAAGCGUGGGGAGCGAACAGGAUUAGAUACCCUGGUAGUCCACGCCGUAAACGAU